AUGGCCAUGAGAAGGAGUCCAAGAACUUGCUACUAUAAAUACUGCUGGCUAUAAGUGAUGAAGAUCUCUCAAGGCCAAGGUGCAUUCAAGAAAGAGAAAGAGAUCACAUUAUAAAGAUUGAUAAUUAAGAAAAGAUGGAGGAAGAUAAUGGUAAGAAAGAAGUGGAAGAUGGAUCUUCAGUUAGUGGAGGGAGUGGCUUUUGUGAUCCAUGCUCUUGGAUGAACUUCUUUAUAACUUCUUUUCUCAGCUGUUUUGGCCUGUUGGAUCAUCACAAUGAUUCUAAGGACCUUGAAAUUGGAGCAAGAAAUAUUAAUGCAAUGAUGGUAACAAGAAAAAGGCCAACUAAGCCUCCACCAAGCCCAGGAAGUGGUGGGAAAAUCAACAAAGUUCUUUAAUCAACUUGAAGAACAAAUUAAUAGUGUGGUUUGAUGGUUUUGUGAAUGGUGUUUUGUAGUUUGUGCUCUUUUUGGGAGGAUUAGUAGAUGAAUUAAAGUAGAUUUAAUUAAUUGCAUGUAAACUCAAGUCUCUGGUUUGGUUUUCCUUAAUUUGUUGGCCUCCUGUUUCUCCUUCCUGUAAUACUUGGCUUGAAAAUAAGUUUCAAGUUUUUCCUUUAUUUUUAUA
Molecule: long non-coding RNA, 621 nt
Organism: Dioscorea cayenensis subsp. rotundata (Guinea yam)
Lineage: Eukaryota; Viridiplantae; Streptophyta; Magnoliopsida; Dioscoreales; Dioscoreaceae
Exons: 3
Source: RefSeq, a predicted model, not a curated record